This 1079-nucleotide ribosomal RNA is filed under the name Microbacterium pumilum. RNAcentral's name for it is "bacterial SSU rRNA". It matches the Rfam family "Bacterial small subunit ribosomal RNA", at positions 70 to 1161 of the family's 1533-position model. The record is from RNAcentral. Lineage: Bacteria; Bacillati; Actinomycetota; Actinomycetes; Micrococcales; Microbacteriaceae.
UGAAAGAGAGCUUGCUCUCUGGAUCAGUGGCGAACGGGUGAGUAACACGUGAGCAACCUGCCCCGGACUCUGGGAUAACAGCUGGAAACAGCUGCUAAUACCGGAUACGAGCUGCGAAGGCAUCUUCAGCAGCUGGAAAGAAUUUCGGUCCGGGAUGGGCUCGCGGCCUAUCAGCUAGUUGGUGAGGUAAUGGCUCACCAAGGCGUCGACGGGUAGCCGGCCUGAGAGGGUGACCGGCCACACUGGGACUGAGACACGGCCCAGACUCCUACGGGAGGCAGCAGUGGGGAAUAUUGCACAAUGGGCGAAAGCCUGAUGCAGCAACGCCGCGUGAGGGAUGACGGCCUUCGGGUUGUAAACCUCUUUUAGCAGGGAAGAAGCGAAAGUGACGGUACCUGCAGAAAAAGCGCCGGCUAACUACGUGCCAGCAGCCGCGGUAAUACGUAGGGCGCAAGCGUUAUCCGGAAUUAUUGGGCGUAAAGAGCUCGUAGGCGGUUUGUCGCGUCUGCUGUGAAAACCCGAGGCUCAACCUCGGGCCUGCAGUGGGUACGGGCAGACUAGAGUGCGGUAGGGGAGAUUGGAAUUCCUGGUGUAGCGGUGGAAUGCGCAGAUAUCAGGAGGAACACCGAUGGCGAAGGCAGAUCUCUGGGCCGUAACUGACGCUGAGGAGCGAAAGGGUGGGGAGCAAACAGGCUUAGAUACCCUGGUAGUCCACCCCGUAAACGUUGGGAACUAGUUGUGGGGUCCAUUCCACGGAUUCCGUGACGCAGCUAACGCAUUAAGUUCCCCGCCUGGGGAGUACGGCCGCAAGGCUAAAACUCAAAGGAAUUGACGGGGACCCGCACAAGCGGCGGAGCAUGCGGAUUAAUUCGAUGCAACGCGAAGAACCUUACCAAGGCUUGACAUAUACGAGAACGGGCCAGAAAUGGUCAACUCUUUGGACACUCGUAAACAGGUGGUGCAUGGUUGUCGUCAGCUCGUGUCGUGAGAUGUUGGGUUAAGUCCCGCAACGAGCGCAACCCUCGUUCUAUGUUGCCAGCACGUAAUGGUGGGAACUCAUGGGAUACUGCCGGGGUCAA